UACGGGGGGGGCAAGCGUUGUUCGGAAUUACUGGGCGUAAAGCGCACGUAGGCGGCUUAGCAAGUCGGAUGUGAAAUCCCUCGGCUCAACCAAGGAAGUGCAUCCGAAACUGCUGAGCUUGAGUACGAAAGAGGAUCGCGGAAUUCCCGGUGUAGAGGUGAAAUUCGUAGAUAUCGGGAGGAACACCAGUGGCGAAGGCGGCGAUCUGGGUCGAUACUGACGCUGAGGUGCGAAAGCGUGGGGAGCAAACAGG
This 253-nucleotide ribosomal RNA is filed under the name uncultured bacterium. RNAcentral's name for it is "partial 16S ribosomal RNA". It matches the Rfam family "Bacterial small subunit ribosomal RNA", at positions 524 to 776 of the family's 1533-position model. The record is from RNAcentral.